UACGUAGGGUGCGAGCGUUAAUCGGAAUUACUGGGCGUAAAGCGUGCGCAGGCGGUGAUGUAAGACAGUUGUGAAAUCCCCGGGCUUAACCUGGGAACUGCAUUUGUGACUGCAUCGCUGGAGUGCGGCAGAGGGGGAUGGAAUUCCGCGUGUAGCAGUGAAAUGCGUAGAUAUGCGGAGGAACACCGAUGGCGAAGGCAGCCCCCUGGGCCGACACUGACGCUCAGGCACGAAAGCGUGGGGAGCAAACAGG
This 253-nucleotide ribosomal RNA is filed under the name uncultured bacterium. Its description in RNAcentral is "partial 16S ribosomal RNA". It matches the Rfam family "Bacterial small subunit ribosomal RNA", at positions 524 to 776 of the family's 1533-position model. The record is from RNAcentral.